ACCACUUGUGAAUCUCCAAC
RNAcentral lists this microRNA (20 nucleotides) under Ciona intestinalis (vase tunicate). Its description in RNAcentral is "cin-miR-1497-5p". The record is from miRBase by way of RNAcentral. Lineage: Eukaryota; Metazoa; Chordata; Ascidiacea; Phlebobranchia; Cionidae.